RNAcentral lists this ribosomal RNA (254 nucleotides) under uncultured prokaryote. RNAcentral's name for it is "partial 16S ribosomal RNA". It matches the Rfam family "Bacterial small subunit ribosomal RNA", at positions 524 to 777 of the family's 1533-position model. The record is from RNAcentral.
UACGUAGGGUGCGAGCGUUGUCCGGAAUUAUUGGGCGUAAAGAGCUUGUAGGCGGUUUGUCGCGUCUGCUGUGAAAAUCCAUAGCUUAACUGUGGACGUGCAGUGGGUACGGGCAGGCUAGAGUGUGGUAGGGGAGACUGGAAUUCCUGGUGUAGCGGUGAAAUGCGCAGAUAUCAGGAGGAACACCGAUGGCGAAGGCAGGUCUCUGGGCCAUUACUGACGCUGAGAAGCGAAAGCAUGGGUAGCGAACAGGA